Molecule: non-coding RNA, 312 nt
Organism: Nothobranchius furzeri (turquoise killifish)
Lineage: Eukaryota; Metazoa; Chordata; Actinopteri; Cyprinodontiformes; Nothobranchiidae
Source: RefSeq, a predicted model, not a curated record
AGGUUCCUCUUAAAAUCCUCAGUCUCUCCAGAACCAACCCGGAUCACAACCUACAUGACACACUGCUCCAUCCUCUGACCGCCCGCUCUCAGCCGCUCACCUACUACAUCCAUUUCGGCUCCUACACCUCAGGACAAACCAACCACCUUUCCUGGAUAUCCUCAGCUCACCCGGACCAGACAACCCUCCCGGUGCAUUUAGUACUGCCAAGAAACAAAACCUCCUCCUGGAGUCCUGCUGCCAGUCCUGCAUCUCGUCGAGUCCCGAACCUCUGUUGCUCAUUAUUUCCAAAAAUAAAACCCUUUUUACUUA